UCGAAAAAGGGCUAUUCAGUCUUUUACACAAAACACACGAUCUUCCCAAAUCUCUCCCCCCGAAUUACACGCUCCACCUUCCGUUCAUUAUUCUGAAACACUAGGGUUUUCAUAAUUCCUGCAAAUCGAAACAUCCAUUGAAGACCCUCGGUUUCUAAAUUGAAGAGAGGCGACAGUGGUUGUUCAUCAUCAAAUGACGAAAUACAUGGGGGAAAUGUGGAACAAUCGAACAAUAGUAGUGACGAGGGUAAUGAAUACUUGCGUUCAAUUAUUUGUGUCUUCAUAUUCUAAUUAUUUAUUUGUUUAUUCGAAUUAAUAUAUGUUCGAAAUUUAUUCCUGGUCUGAAUUAUUCACCUAUUUAAGGUCAACAUUACAUAUAUUGGUAUUCUAAAUGUUUGUUUGUUUAUUCAAGAAAAUUUGUGCUUCAAAUUUACACAUGUUUUGAAUUAUUAACGUAUUUACGUUCACCAAUUUGUGUAAUGUUGAAUUCACCCAUUGCUAAGCUGAAGUUGAAUUCUGUUUUUUCUUAUUUGUGAUUUAUUGAUUAGGCUGCAUUUAGUGUAUGGAAGAGUCUGAUUCCGUGAGCAAGCAAGAUGAUAGUGAAAGUUGUCAAGGUGGGAUGGGUGAUAAUAUCGUCCGAGAAAGAGAUAUGCAAGCAGGAUUUGUGGCUUUAGAACGAGUUGAUGAACAACUAUUCAUAGUGUUCAGACAUUAUUGUGCGAUAUUCAUUACUGAAUAAUAUUUAUUCAGAACUUAUUAAUGUUAUUUAGAACUUAUUUAUAACUGAAUAGUAGUUAUUCGAAAGGUACACUAGAUUAUUCAGAACUUAUUCAUGUUAUUCAGUUUCAUGUUUCACUUAUUCGAUUAAUAACAAAGUGGUAUUCGAUGAA
Salvia miltiorrhiza (redroot sage) is the source of this 890-nucleotide long non-coding RNA. RefSeq lists it as uncharacterized. The transcript has 2 exons. NCBI's taxonomy places the organism in Eukaryota, Viridiplantae, Streptophyta, Magnoliopsida, Lamiales, Lamiaceae. The record is from RefSeq and is a predicted model, not a curated record.